This 2094-nucleotide long non-coding RNA is filed under the name Nicotiana benthamiana. Its description in RNAcentral is "long non-coding RNA (NBEN_LNC038753)". The record is from RNAcentral. Lineage: Eukaryota; Viridiplantae; Streptophyta; Magnoliopsida; Solanales; Solanaceae.
ACUUCCCCACCCCCUAUAUCGUCUCUCAGAAUUCACCCCUAACCAGAAACCCUGGAUGAGCCGCCCUAAUUCCCCACCGGCUUCGGUGGCGGCACUGUCGUAGACCGGCCCCAAAUUAACACCCUGAACUUCCCUCGUCUCCAUCUUUCUAAAAAUACCUUCAGGCCCUCGAAUCAGUGCCCACAUCUUCAAAUUUUCAUUUGAAAUUCAUGACCCAAAACCCUAAGUUCUUCAAACCCACCCAAAUUUGUACCGUACAACCCCUAGGCCAUUUUAAGCCUCAUUCUCGUGGUUGCUGCACAAGAAUCCCAACUGAAAUCCUUCAAUUUCACAUCUAGGAUUCAAAUUCUCUGGGCCAUGGCCAAAGUCAUUUGGACAGGCAUUUUUUUCCGUAUCACUGGUCCACACGGGAUCGUUUGAAUCUAAUAGUGAGUUUCCCCCUAUUCUUCUUUUGUUUUGCCUCUUUCUUCUUCUUCUGCUCUUUUCCUUUUGCUUCUUGUGAUUUGGUCUGGCUUUGUUAAUUGUUGUUAAUUGGUUUAGUUGUUCAUUGAAUAGAGCUUUUUUGUUUAUUUCUGUUUUAUUCUUAAUUUUGGGUUUUUGUAUGUGUUUCAAUAAUGGUUUCGUAAUUUAAUUCUGUUUCAUUUUGUUUGAUCUUGCAUUGGUAAUUUAGAUUCUAGUUUAAUUUUGUUUUGAAUCUAUUUCUAUCUGUCUUUGAUUCAUUAAUCGAUCCUGUUUGAAGCCCUGUUUGAAUUUCAAUUCCUUAUAAUUGUUGCUAGCUAGUGUUAAGUCAGUUUAAUUGCUAAUUGUCUUUAAUAAAUCCAUGGUUUGGUAUUUAGUUUCAAAUAAUCCUUAGGCUUAAUUUAGUUAACACUAGAUAAAUAAUUGUUUGGAUAUAGCUGUACUAGGUUAGUAAUUUCAAAUGAGUUCAAGGACAUUUUGGGUAACUAGCACUGGACAGGAAUGAUGUAGGUUUAGUUAGAAUGACCUAGAUCCUUCUAGAAUAGGGUUCAUUUUAGAAAUUCAGAAAAGGUAGUAAGAUAACUUGAAUAACAAGCUAAUAGUUUAGGGACCUUUAAGCAAAAAUGAAAAUUGGCAAAUGGUAUAGUAAAAAAACUGAAAAUCUGAUUAAGAAUCCUCAGUUUCGCCUAUAAAAAGGCAUCACCAAUGCCUUAGGCAACAAGUUUAGAACCCCUUAUAGUUCCCCCCAAAAAUAUUCUCCCAGUUUUCCAGAUCUGAAACCUGAAGUUCAAAAACUCAAAAACCAAAAAAUAAAAAAAAAUCAUUACAUUAUUUUUCCUUUACAUGAUUUUCGAAUUUCAGCUUUUAAAUCAACAUUCUAGUUUAGCUAAGAUCCAAAAUUACGUGAUUUUUCUAUUACUGUUCGAUAAUCUGAGGUGUGAAGGAAGUUCGAGUCAUCUAGGCAUUGGAUUUGGUUAGUUCGAGUCAAUUGUGGGUUAACUUAAUGGGUGUACUGAUUUCCUAGAUUCAUUUCUGAGCAUUUUGGUAUUGUUUUGGGCUUUUCUGUUGAUCCUAAUUGGUUUUUAAAACGAUCCUGAACUUUAAACUUGUUGCUGAACUGCUGCUGAGAGUCGUUAUUGUUGCUGAUCUCUGCUUCUUCAUUGUAUUUCCAUUUUCAGGUACAUAGUCGAACCUAGUGUUGAUGUAGCUUUGAAGUUGAAAUGCUGAAAUGAAAUGCUCAUCCAUUUGCUUCCUGGAAUCUGUGUGUUCAAGCUGUCAUAGUAGAAUAAAUAAUAGAUAUUUUGUAUUUGUUUAGGUUUACUUUUGAUUUGUGUUGUAAUACUGAACUGACUGAACUGCACUAUACUGUUAGACUAGCGAUCACUCAUUGGACAUGUUAUAAUUUUGUUUCAUUUUGUGUAGUGUGAUAACUGGAACAAGAAAUGGAUUUCUAGAUCUAUGAUCAACAUUUGUUUUAAUAAUUGGAAGAGAGAAGAAAAUUAGUGUACAUGUCUCGUUCCUGCUAAUUUAAAAUCAUGAACCAGAAGCAGUUAAGGUGUAGUAGUCUCAAAAAUACCCCAAUCAUUGUGAAACCGGUUCAUAAGUCUUGUUAAAUGGUAAAUUGUUCAAAGGUUC